Long non-coding RNA from Corticium candelabrum, 831 nucleotides. RefSeq lists it as uncharacterized. The transcript is spliced from 4 exons. NCBI's taxonomy places the organism in Eukaryota, Metazoa, Porifera, Homoscleromorpha, Homosclerophorida, Plakinidae. The record is from RefSeq and is a predicted model, not a curated record.
CGCCAAAAAGUAUUAAACAGGUGAUCAGAGGUCUCACAUCAGACCUUGUGAUUCUCGCGACUGUAGUCUUUUCCACGUGCUUCAUGUUUGGGAAGAAGUGUGUCUGUGUCUGCUUCGGGCAGAGAAGGAACGUCGUUUCACGUUCUUCUUCUGAUCCUGAGACCGACGUAGAUCAAAUCAGGGAAGCGUCACUGCGGGUCUUUCCCAGCCUAAGACCUGGGGCCAGCCAAUAUUUCAGCAGUAUUCGUCAGAGUUCGAAGAAUGGCUUGAUUUGGAGGAUGACACGGUGAUUGACAACAAGGUUUUCCAAACCAAGCUGGUGCCUAUCUCUAGUUCAACACACGCUCACGCACUCUAAGCUACUGUGUUUGCAGGAUGCCGCAUAUGCCCGGCCACUUUGUGAGAGUGCUGCUGGUAGCAAUGGGUCGUCGGUUUUCAGCGAGUCCAACCUUCCGUAUGUUGAUGAUACUGACCCAGACUUGCAGUCAAGUACCGGUAUCCUUAGUAUAUCUACUGCACUUCAAACCUCGUUUAAUACCAGUUGUCUUGUCGAUGGUGGAAAUAAUGCUUCAUUUUCCACAUUGCCUGCAGAUGACCGAGACCGCGAACGUCCUCUUCCUCAGCCUUUUCUGCUUCCCCAAAAUUUUUCGGCAGAUGUUGAGGCUGGUCCGAAGAAGGGGUCUAUGUCUGUUACAACUAUGGCAAAAUUCAUCACUGCUGUUGCACAUGGAGUCUUUGCUUUCAAACGCUAUCCAUCAUCAAUCGACUUUACUCUGGUAGCCGAUCAAAUAUGCACCAAGUACUCUUUCGUGAGGGAUUCUGUUGGAAAUG